AGGGUUCGAUUCUGGCUCAGGAUAAACGCUGGCGGCAUGCCUAAUACAUGCAAGUCAAACGAGAGUACUGUACUCUAGUGGCGAACGGGUGAGUAACACGUGAAUAACCUGCCCUAAAGACGAGGAUAACAGCUGGAAACGGCUGAUAAUACUGGAUAGUAUAUAUUAUCACAUGAUUAUAUAUUUAAAGGCGCUUCGGCGUCACUUUAGGAAGGAUUUGCGGCGCAUUAGCUAGUUGGUGAGGUAACGGCCCACCAAGGCAACGAUGCGUAGCUGCGCCUGAGAGGCGAAACAGCCACAUUGGGACUGAGACACGGCCCAAACUCCUACGGGAGGCAGCAGUAGGGAAUUUUCGGCAAUGGGGGAAACCCUGACCGAGCAAUGCCGCGUGAAUGGAAUGAAGGUCUUCGGAUCGUAAAGUUCUGUUGUUAAGGAAGAACUAUAUAACUAGGAAAUGAGUUAUAUUUGACGGUACUUAACUAGAAAGCCCCGGCUAACUAUGUGCCAGCAGCAGC
RNAcentral lists this ribosomal RNA (515 nucleotides) under uncultured bacterium. Its description in RNAcentral is "bacterial SSU rRNA". It matches the Rfam family "Bacterial small subunit ribosomal RNA", at positions 8 to 518 of the family's 1533-position model. The record is from RNAcentral.